Molecule: small nuclear RNA, 107 nt
Organism: Zalophus californianus (California sea lion)
Lineage: Eukaryota; Metazoa; Chordata; Mammalia; Carnivora; Otariidae
Source: Ensembl
GUGCUGGCUUCAGUGGCACAUAUACUAAAAUUAGAAUGAUACAGAGAAGGUUAGCAUGGCCCCUGCACAAGGAUGACAGGCAAAUUCAUGAAGUGUUCCUUGUUAAA